Molecule: non-coding RNA, 82 nt
Organism: Trichonephila clavipes
Lineage: Eukaryota; Metazoa; Arthropoda; Arachnida; Araneae; Nephilidae
Source: the annotation of a GenBank genome assembly
GGCCCGUUAGCUCAGUUGGUUAGAGAGCGUCGAGCUAAUAUUUCGAAGGUCGUACAGGGUUCGAUCCCCCCGUCACGGGCCA